UUUUCGCAAUGGGCGAAAGCCUGAUGGAGCAAUACCGCGUGAGGGAUGACGCAUCGUGGUGUGUAAACCUCUUUUCUUAAGGAAGAAUCAAUGACGGUACUUAAGGAAUAAGCACCGGCUAACUCUGUGCCAGCAGCCGCGGUAAUACAGAGGGUGCAAGCGUUGUCCGGAAUGAUUGGGCGUAAAGCAUCUGUAGGUGGUUUCUAAAGUCAACUGUUAAAUCCCAGAGCUUAACUUUGGUCAAGCAGUUGAGUACUUAGGGACUUGAGUACGGUAGGGGUAGAGGGAAUUCCUUGUUUAGCGGUGAAAUGCAUAGAGAUAAGGAAGAACACCAGCGGCGAAGGCGCUCUACUGGGCCGUAACUGACACUGAGAGAUGAAAGUUAGGGGAGCAAAAGGGAUAAGAUACCA
RNAcentral lists this ribosomal RNA (410 nucleotides) under Tetradesmus bajacalifornicus. RNAcentral describes it as "bacterial SSU rRNA". It matches the Rfam family "Bacterial small subunit ribosomal RNA", at positions 363 to 787 of the family's 1533-position model. The record is from RNAcentral. Lineage: Eukaryota; Viridiplantae; Chlorophyta; Chlorophyceae; Sphaeropleales; Scenedesmaceae.